RNAcentral lists this ribosomal RNA (82 nucleotides) under Aspergillus persii. RNAcentral describes it as "partial 18S ribosomal RNA". Lineage: Eukaryota; Fungi; Ascomycota; Eurotiomycetes; Eurotiales; Aspergillaceae. The record is from RNAcentral.
AAACCCCCCCCUCCCUAGGCGAGCGCCCGCCGGAGACACCAACGUGAACACUGUCUGAAGUUUUGUUGUCUGAGUUCGAUUG